Molecule: small nuclear RNA, 116 nt
Organism: Tupaia belangeri (northern tree shrew)
Lineage: Eukaryota; Metazoa; Chordata; Mammalia; Scandentia; Tupaiidae
Gene: U4
Rfam family: U4 spliceosomal RNA
About the family: U4 small nuclear RNA (U4 snRNA) is a component of the major U2-dependent spliceosome. The structure of U4 snRNA from yeast and human has been reported.
Source: Ensembl
AGCUUUGCGCAGUGGCAGUAUUGUAGCCAAUGAGGUUUAUCCGAGGCGCGAUUAUUGCUAAAUUGAGGUUCUCCGUUUUUUAACAAAGAACCUGACAUUUCAUAUUUUGUAUUGGA